RNAcentral lists this long non-coding RNA (595 nucleotides) under Triticum aestivum (bread wheat). Its description in RNAcentral is "long non-coding RNA (TAES_LNC012694)". Lineage: Eukaryota; Viridiplantae; Streptophyta; Magnoliopsida; Poales; Poaceae. The record is from RNAcentral.
CCAGAUCUACCUCCCGUCGCCAAGGCCUCCGAGGGGAGGUACUCUACAGUCUGAGGGGCCGCCCCGUAACCUGCAGACCGAGGAGGCGACCUACCAUACUCUGCCAAGGAGACGCCCCACUGCCCCUCUUCCAACACCGGCGACGCCUCCCCUACCUCAUCUGUCCUACCCCGUUUCCAAAUCUGGCUACUGUAGGUAAGCUUCAUCGUUGAUUCUUUUAAUUUUCUUCCGUCCAAAACUAUGAUUGCCCAUUAGAUCUAUCUAGUUUGAACAAGUUUAUGUCGGCUUAUUUGAGUUUGGGUAAUUUUAGGCUGGUUUAGGAACGGCUUAGGCUGACUGGAAGGGAGCGCAUGUACUACUGUAGGUGGGAGCAUGCGGCCUGGUUCAUGGCGGAGGUGGCCUAGUUCGUGAGUGGACAAAGCAACGACCUGGACCAGAUGUCUAACCGACAGUUUCACAUGUGAAUUUUGAUUCAUAUAAAUUUUGUGAUUUAUCUCUGCUAUUAUCUGUAAAAUCAUGUUCUAAUAUGUGCCAUUUGCAGGGCAAAAGCUGGCGGAAACAGGAGAAGAAAGUGAGGUCCUUGUGUAUGAUGAUG